Molecule: ribosomal RNA, 497 nt
Filed under: uncultured bacterium
Lineage: Bacteria
Description: partial 16S ribosomal RNA
Rfam family: Bacterial small subunit ribosomal RNA
Source: RNAcentral
GAUGAACGCUGGCGGCGUGCCUAAUACAUGCAAGUCGAGCGAACAGACGAGGAGCUUGCUUCUCUGACGUUAGCGGCGGACGGGUGAGUAACACGUGGAUAACCUACCUAUAAGACUGGGAUAACUUCGGGAAACCGGAGCUAAUACCGGAUAAUAUAUUGAACCGCAUGGUUCAAUAGUGAAAGACGGUUUUGCUGUCACUUAUAGAUGGAUCCGCGCCGCAUUAGCUAGUUGGUAAGGUAACGGCUUACCAAGGCAACGAUGCGUAGCCGACCCGAGAGGGUGAUCGGCCACACUGGAACUGAGACACGGUCCAGACUCCUACGGGAGGCAGCAGUAGGGAAUCUUCCGCAAUGGGCGAAAGCCUGACGGAGCAACGCCGCGUGAGUGAUGAAGGUCUUCGGAUCGUAAAACUCUGUUAUUAGGGAAGAACAAAUGUGUAAGUAACUAUGCACGUCUUGACGGUACCUAAUCAGAAAGCCACGGCUAACUACGUG